GGGGGGGGGGGGGGGGUGUUGGUGUGGCGUGUGGGGAGCAAACUACCUUUCAUUCCUUUUACAAUCUUUCCCCCAAUUUUUGGGUGAAGAAAAAAGGUCAUUUAAUAAAAUAUGGCCAGCUUCUGUAUAAGAACAGUAUAGACUCAGCAACCAUAUCUCAACAAAAAAAAAAUCAAGUCACAAGACUAUAAGACUAUUAAGCCAUCUCUCACUAACGACAGAGUGCAACAAAUUUUCGAAGAUACCGAUUUAAGGAAAGGAAUCAGACAACUAAUUCUUUCUCAAAGGGUCUCCUAAUCUCUCACCAGACACACCAACACCAUCAGGAAAAGUUGGGCUCUCUCACAUAUAAUAACACUACAUGUUUCUGACCAUAAGGAUCUUCUGAAGGAGGCAAAUGUUUCAUGGCUUUCUGCAGUCAUGCAUGCAAUGCAAAU
This 437-nucleotide unclassified non-coding RNA is filed under the name Hevea brasiliensis (rubber tree). The record is from RNAcentral. Lineage: Eukaryota; Viridiplantae; Streptophyta; Magnoliopsida; Malpighiales; Euphorbiaceae.